This is a long non-coding RNA of Acanthaster planci (crown-of-thorns starfish), 1189 nucleotides long. RefSeq lists it as uncharacterized. The record is from RefSeq and is a predicted model, not a curated record. Lineage: Eukaryota; Metazoa; Echinodermata; Asteroidea; Valvatida; Acanthasteridae.
UUAAAAAAUUAAAAAUUGGCAUUUAAAUUGUCAGUACGUUCGGCCAUUUUGGUUGCCGGAUACGCGUGAGAAGAGUGUCUAAAAGUUAAUGUCUGUUGGUGAUUGAUCGACGAUUACGGGAUUUUUGACCGUUGUCAAAGCUUCAAAAGCAUCGCUCCUAGAGUUUUGCCAGUCUAGGCUUGACAUCCAGCGUGAAGAAUGGACCUAUUACAAUGUAUUUGCGCUCUGUGAACUGUGCAAAGCUAGCGGUAUGCAUUUGCAAGGCAUUACACGACACGCUGAUUUUUGCAUUGAUACACUACAUCUUGGAGGAAUAUCCACGAGAGCUCUACGUGCGUGAUGGUUUCAUGGGCGUCCUCACCGUGAAGGAGUUGCUUCAAAGUACAUGCCGUCAGGUGCUGAACUUUGUGGAUUACUGCAGUCAUGUCUUUCUGCAUUUUUGAGCCAACUGCUUUGGUGGCAGUUCUUGCACUUGACCCUCCCAUUCAUGAGGACAUUCACAAAGUAGUGCUUGGCAGGUUGGAUAUGCAGAAGGCUGAUUUGCUCCUUACAUACUGGGCAAAGAACUGUUGAAGAUGAAGAUUUGGAAAACAGCUCUUCUAAGCAUUCCAAUCAACCAAUGUGCUCACACUGUGUUUCGGUAGAUCUGUUGAAGAUUUUGCAGUAGUACUUGCAAAUGAAAGAACUAUCAUCUGACUGAAAAUUCUGCCCCAUUGCCGGAGUCGUUGUUUGCCUAAGCCACUCGAAGUUCCUCUGCACAGUUGCCUUGGCAACUGUGCAUAAGACGAACUGUGUCAUAAGACGAGCAUGUUUCCCUUUCGAAGGACGACCACCUCUUUUGGAAAUGUUCACCUUGUCACAAAUGAAGCAGGGGGUUGUUGGAGGGUUGGGGGCCAAUCCUUUGGCACAGGGUGUUUCUUUGCAAGAUAAAGAUUUGAACUGCAAAGAUGGCACAUGAAGGGUGGGUGGCAAUGUGGCCCAUCGGUUUCUACAUUGAUUUUAUACUUUGCUUGUAUCUUCUCUUGAUUUUCUGAGCAAGGCUUAGGUUGUCUGUUAUGGAUUUUCCAUGGAUGAACUCUGUCACCACAUAUUCUGUAUAAUUUGUGGAGAUUGUCUAUGUAAUCAAAGAGCCACUUUCCAAUAGUCUGUCAAUUAAAAGUAAUAAAUUUACAUGCCUGUAUCCUUGAAA